AGCGCCUACGACCGCUGAGUGAGCACGCCGCCCUCUCAAGGCUGUAGCGCGGGUUCGAAUCCCGUCGGGGUUACCA
Molecule: transfer RNA, 76 nt
Filed under: Jiangella alkaliphila
Lineage: Bacteria; Bacillati; Actinomycetota; Actinomycetes; Jiangellales; Jiangellaceae
Description: tRNA_Pseudo_CTC
Source: RNAcentral